GAUGAACGCUGGCGGCGUGCCUAAUACAUGCAAGCCGAGCGAACGGACGAGAAGCUUGCUUUUCUGAUGUUAGCGGCGGACGGGUGAGUAACACGUGGAUAACCUACCUAUAAGACUGGGAUAACUUCGGGAAACCGGAGCUAAUACCGGAUAAUAUUUUGAACCGCAUGGUUCAAAAGUGAAAGACGGUCUUGCUGUCACUUAUAGAUGGAUCCGCGCUGCAUUAGCUAGUUGGUAAGGUAACGGCUUACCAAGGCAACGAUGCAAAGCCGACCUGAGAGGGUGAUCGGCCACACUGGAACUGAGACACGGUCCAGACUCCUACGGGAGGCAGCAGUAGGGAAUCUUCCGCAAUGGGCGAAAGCCUGACGGAGCAACGCCGCGUGAGUGAUGAAGGUCUUCGGAUCGUAAAACUCUGUUAUUAGGGAAGAACAUAUGUGUAAGUAACUGUGCACAUCUUGACGGUACCUAAUCAGAAAGCCACGGCUAACUACGUG
RNAcentral lists this ribosomal RNA (497 nucleotides) under uncultured bacterium. Its description in RNAcentral is "partial 16S ribosomal RNA". It matches the Rfam family "Bacterial small subunit ribosomal RNA", at positions 28 to 507 of the family's 1533-position model. The record is from RNAcentral.